GGGGAGCGGGGGAACGGGACGGAUGCUGCGCGCUCAUUGGCCGAAACUUUGGAGCUCGUACUCCUUCCCAGUUGAUGAGAGGGGGAAGGGGGCGGAUGCUGCGCGCUCAUUGGCCCAAAGUUUGAGACUCGUCCUCCUCCCAGCGGGGGAGCGGGACGGAUGCUGCGCGCUCAUUGGCUGAAACUUUGGAGUCGUGCUCCAUCCCAGGUGAUGAGCGGGGGAACGGGACGGGUGCUGCGCGCUCAUUGACCUAAAGUUUGGAUCUCGUGCUCUCUCCCAGGUGAUGAGAGGGGGAAGGGGGCGGAUGCUGCGAGCUCAUUGGCUGAAACUUUGGAGUCGUGCUCCAUCCCAGGUGAUGAGCAGGGGAACGGGACGGGUGCUGCGCGCUCAUUGACCCAAAGCUUUGAUCUCGUGCUCCCUCCCAGGUGAUGAGCGGGGGAACGGGACGGAUGCUGCGCGCUCAUGGGCCCAAAGUUUGGAGCUCGUGCUCCCUCCCAGACUCCCCCUUCAAGCAGCCAUUCCACAGUUUCAGAUUCAUCCUUGUCGGAGCAUCAGCCCUGAAUCUUAUCCUGAAUCCCUGUCCUUCUACUCAAUUUCUGUGCAUGCCCUAAGCUAUUUUAACAAAUGACUUGCAUUGUAUUUCUAAGGGCUUUGAUGACAACCCAAAAUACAAUAACAUUUGAAGCAUUGGAAAGGACAUGCUGAAUUCACAUUGCAGAACCUGUGAGGGUGGCAUAUUUGACCUGUUUCACUCCAAAGAAAAUAAGCACAAAGAAAACACAUAAUACCUUGG
RNAcentral lists this long non-coding RNA (793 nucleotides) under Ornithorhynchus anatinus (platypus). RNAcentral's name for it is "lncRNA (ENSOANG00000040158.1)". The record is from RNAcentral. Lineage: Eukaryota; Metazoa; Chordata; Mammalia; Monotremata; Ornithorhynchidae.